Long non-coding RNA from Gallus gallus (chicken), 1281 nucleotides. Lineage: Eukaryota; Metazoa; Chordata; Aves; Galliformes; Phasianidae. The record is from Ensembl.
GAUACCUGGACAACACGUGGAAGGUCCCUCUUCGUGCACAGGAGGGGGAAGGCUCAGGCCAGGUGAUCCAGCGUGUCCGUCGCUCCUGGCUGGCGGACUACCUGGGCGACGUGUGGUUUCACUUCUCGGAGAGCUUCCCCAUCGCCGUCCUGUACAUCUUCCCCGUCACCGUGCUGAUCCUGCUCUUCCUCUGCUGCUUCACGGUAGGUAUGGAGUGAGGCGACCUGGAGGACUCUGAGAGAAGCAGCGUGGCUACACUGAGAGAGAUUCUGGUGCCUCGAUGGAGCUCAGCUCAGAGAAGCCUCCGAAACUCCAGGAGCCCCGAAGCGGUGUGGAAGGGCCAGGAGCAGAACCACCUUUCUCUUCCUUUCAGAUGAUUUUAAAGAUUCUCCCGGACAGAAUCUGCCACCCCCAAAUGAAGUUCAGACUUCACCUGAGGCUCUGCUGUCUGAGUUACGGCCAGAACGCAAGAGGUUCAUUGGGGUUCGUAGAAUCGUUAGGGUUGGAAAAGACCCCUCAGAUCCCCAAGUCCAACCCCAGCCCGUCCCACCGUGCCCACCGCAUCCCCACUGUUCUGGAGCACCUCCAGAGAUGAUGACCCCACUGCCCCCCGUGCAGCUGUGCCAAGGCAUCACUGCUCUUUCAGAGAAGCUUUCCCUGAUAUCCAACCUGAACCUCCCCCGGUGCAUCCUGAGGCCGUCACCUCUCAUCCUACUGCUGUUACUCGGGAGAAGAGGCCGACCCUCACCUCACUACAAGCUCAUUUCUGGGAGCUGGAGAGAGCAAAGCAUAGAAUCACAGAAUUGCUCAGGUUGGAAAAGACCUUCGAGAUCAUUGAGUCCAAGCUCAACCCAACCAUACCACCCUAACCCGAACAACCCGCUGCUAAAUGAUGUCCCUGAGCACCACAUCCAGAUGGUUUGCAUCCAGAAGAUCCAGGUUAAUGCCCUGUUGGCCUUUGCAUGUGGUGCAAACGGGGAGUUUAACUCGUAUUUAAGGCUCUGGAGGCCUUUGGUUUGGGCAGCAGUUGAAUCCGAGGUUUCAUGGCAGUAGCGGUGUUCGAUGCUUUGUUAGGGCAAUCAUUUCACGUGGCUGGAGGAAUUUUGGGGCAGUGUAAUUGCUGGGCGGUGUGUGAGGUGGAAGAACAGCCAAAGAGGGACGGCACUGUGCUGACUGCGGCUGCUGGCUCACCUCCCGCUUGGUAAGCCCACGGAUAACGACUCAUCUGGGGCACAACCCUCAGGCCCGCGCGCCCCUCGAGGCCGCCGCGCAGGCCGCCCC